UAAUAAUAGCCGUAUUCCGUCUGUCUGUGUGUCCGCGAAAGCGGCGUCUUGUAACGGAAACACGAAAUUUUUAAAAUGCGCACGAAUAUCAAAUGCAAUAUAUUUUUACCGACUUCGUUUUGACCGCUCGCGCGUGGAAUACCAUUCACAACGCCUGAUUCUUAAAAAAAAAACCAAGAUUUUCGCGACCAGAAAGAACCCAAGAUCUUCGCGGAACGAAGGCCAUUUUGAUAAUGGUCGUGUUUGUGGUCAGUGUGUGAGCUAGAUCAUCAGCAGCGUUGAUCAUCACGACCACGUGAGUAAACACACAAAGCAGAAAUACCAAAUCAAAGUCGUAAUGGACUGAGCGUGGCCUACACUUGGACAUAAAAUUCACGCAACUUUGUCCCAGUGGGCAUGGCGAACUUUGAUAUGAGGACGAAACGCGGUUGCAACACGAAAAACAAAUAAACAUGAAGUGAUAUAAAAAAGAAAGGAAAGAAGAAACAACAACAAGUACGCAUUUUGUCCUCGAUACCAAAACAACGCUGCAUUCUCUCUGAUCGAGGUUGAACUUUACGCAUAAAAGCCCACAAAUUCUUGGAUCGUACCAAUAUAACCGCUUUUUUAUAAGAAUAUCAGGUUGAGAUUAGGUCUAUUGUUUAAAACACAAAUAAGAAUAAUUGCCAGCCUGGUUUGAAUUUUCAUUUUCUUAUAAAAAAAGCGUGUAUUAGAUAAGCCCUAGGCAUAGCGCGUCGUAAAAGAAAAGCGCACACCUAUACCAGAAUUUGCGCAGGAUCUAUGCUCAAACUUAAAGACCAGGUUUAAAAAGUGCCAUAGGCUUUAUAUUAGCGUUGAUCUAAACAUCUGGUAAAAAGUGUUUAUCUUGUAUCAAAACUCGUUUUGGAAGAGUAUCGACUUUGUUAAUGAGUCCACGUA
Molecule: long non-coding RNA, 918 nt
Organism: Hydractinia symbiolongicarpus
Lineage: Eukaryota; Metazoa; Cnidaria; Hydrozoa; Anthoathecata; Hydractiniidae
Exons: 2
Source: RefSeq, a predicted model, not a curated record